Long non-coding RNA from Gallus gallus (chicken), 1132 nucleotides. Lineage: Eukaryota; Metazoa; Chordata; Aves; Galliformes; Phasianidae. The record is from Ensembl.
AUCUCCUUUGUGAGUUUCCUCCUUUUUGGAAUGUUCCACUAUGAGUCUAGAUCCUUGGAUAUGGUUUGGGCCACUACAAAACUGAGUCUGAGCUGAAGAUGCUUAAUUUCCUUCUCCUUCUUGAAGCUGGAGAGCAGCAAGGGCUGACCUUUAAGAAAUUCUGCUUAACUGGUGUCUAACAACAGCAAGUAGAGCAAAACAAGCCCAAACUUAUUUGAAUCUUGUGGAUGGAAGUCUGCCAGCAAGCCUUCCUUCCUGCCACCAAAUCAGAGAACAGACGCUGGCUUCACCACACCAAGGAAAAAGACCAUGGAUUUUACAACUCACAAAGCUGCUAUGCACAGACAACACUCCAGGAAAAUAAUCUGGGAGAUGUUUGGUGGGGAUUUGGGGCUGCACCAUCUGGUUGCCCCGAUGUACCUCAUUGCCACAAAGCCUAGGGACCACGUGAGCAAAAAACUUCCGCGAACACUGUACACUAAAAAUCAUAACCAACAACCAGAGCUCAUUUUGGAGGGGCUACAACACAUAUGCUACAAAGUGCACAUCCAUCACUUCCUGUGAGCAGUGAGAUACAAAAAUUGGCAAGGGAAGAAGUGGUUUUAUUGUUGCCUGGCUUGUUGCCCCUUCUGCUGCCCCCAUCUCCAAAGUAUGUAGGGGCAGCCACGCCCAAAGAGAAGUCCUGCCACCAGGUUGACCAAAGAUGCUUUAAUAAACCGAAGAAAAGAAGCACAUUCUGUUCUCACAAAAUAAUAUCAGUAACUUUUUUUCCCCCAGUCCCAGUGUUUAAAACUAGCCAUCAUAUAGAAAAUUAUAUUCAAAAUAUAUGAUGAUGUGAUUUCUCAAAGCGUAGUUUUCCAAGAAAAGGAAGCUGAAGUACAUCCAGCACUUCUGAAAAAUCUGAUUAUUUAAUUCAGUCUAAUUAUUUAAUUUGUUUGACAAAGACAGGAGCUUAACUUCAUAUACCUGCUUAUGAAAGCCUUGGGCUUCAAGUAACAGUGGGCAAAGGAUACAUAAUUAAUAUAACAAGAGACCAGAAAAUGAAUAUGUUGAAGUUACUACUGCAGCUCUAACUUUGUCACAACACAUACAGGUCUUUUAUUGGCUUUCUCCAUAAAGGUGAAUUUCCUGU